Molecule: ribosomal RNA, 434 nt
Filed under: uncultured bacterium
Lineage: Bacteria
Description: partial 16S ribosomal RNA
Rfam family: Bacterial small subunit ribosomal RNA
Source: RNAcentral
AGCGAACGCUGGCGGCAGGCCUAACACAUGCAAGUCGAACGAACCUUUCGGGGUUAGUGGCGGACGGGUGAGUAACACGUGGGAACGUGCCUUUAGGUUCGGAAUAACUCAGGGAAACUUGUGCUAAUACCGAAUGUGCCCUUCGGGGGAAAGAUUUAUCGCCUUUAGAGCGGCCCGCGUCUGAUUAGCUAGUUGGUUGAGGUAAUGGCUCACCGAGGCGACGAUCAGUAGCUGGUCUGAGAGGAUGAUCAGCCACAUUGGGACUGAGACACGGCCCAAACUCCUACGGGAGGCAGCAGUGGGGAAUCUUGCGCAAUGGGCGAAAGCCUGACGCAGCCAUGCCGCGUGAAUGAUGAAGGUCUUAGGAUUGUAAAAUUCUUUCACCGGGGACGAUAAUGACGGUACCCGGAGAAGAAGCCCCGGCUAACUUCGUG